RNAcentral lists this ribosomal RNA (397 nucleotides) under uncultured bacterium. RNAcentral's name for it is "partial 16S ribosomal RNA". It matches the Rfam family "Bacterial small subunit ribosomal RNA", at positions 523 to 918 of the family's 1533-position model. The record is from RNAcentral.
AUACGUAGGUGGCAAGCGUUGUCCGGAAUGAUUGGGCGUAAAGGGCGCGUAGGCGGCCCGGUAAGUCUGGAGUGAAAGUCCUGUUUUUAAGAUGGGAAUUGCUUUGGAUACUGUCGGGCUUGGGUGCAGGAGAGGUAAGUGGAAUUCCCAGUGUAGCGGUGAAAUGCGUAGAGAUUGGGAGGAACACCAGUGGCGAAGGCGACUUACUGGACUGUAACUGACGCUGAGGCGCGAAAGUGUGGGGAGCAAACAGGAUUAGAUACCCUGGUAGUCCACACUGUAAACGAUGAAUGCUAGGUGUAGGGGGUAUCGACCCCUUCUGUGCCGCAGUCAACACAAUAAGCAUUCCGCCUGGGGAGUACGGCCGCAAGGUUGAAACUCAAAGGAAUUGACGGGG